Molecule: regulatory RNA element, 76 nt
Organism: Enterococcus ratti
Lineage: Bacteria; Bacillati; Bacillota; Bacilli; Lactobacillales; Enterococcaceae
Source: Rfam
CCACAGCUACAACCGCACAGAAUGAGUUUAUGAAGUACAAUUGUUGUCACUCAAGAUGGCGAGUCUAAGUUUAUUA